RNAcentral lists this ribosomal RNA (448 nucleotides) under uncultured bacterium. RNAcentral describes it as "bacterial SSU rRNA". It matches the Rfam family "Bacterial small subunit ribosomal RNA", at positions 355 to 825 of the family's 1533-position model. The record is from RNAcentral.
UCGGGAAUUUUGGGCAAUGGGGGAAACCCUGACCCAGCAACGCCGCGUGAAGGAUGAAGUAUUUCGGUAUGUAAACUUCGAAAGAAUAGGAAGAAUAAAUGACGGUACUAUUUAUAAGGUCCGGCUAACUACGUGCCAGCAGCCGCGGUAAUACGUAGGGACCAAGCGUUGUUCGGAUUUACUGGGCGUAAAGGGCGCGUAGGCGGCAUGACAAGUCACUUGUGAAAUCUCUGGGCUUAACCCAGAACGGCCAAGUGAUACUGUCGCGCUAGAGUGCAGAAGGGGCAAUCGGAAUUCUUGGUGUAGCGGUGAAAUGCGUAGAUAUCAAGAGGAACACCUGAGGUGAAGACGGGUUGCUGGGCUGACACUGACGCUGAGGCGCGAAAGCCAGGGGAGCAAACGGGAUUAGAUACCCCAGUAGUCCCCUGAGCGGGCUGGCAAGGCGCAU